GCACAGUGUUCUUUUUCUGUUAACAGCAGGUAUCAUUUUUGUCCUGACAAGAGGAGGCUCCACCUGCCGACUGCCCACCAACGCAUCCAGCUGUCUGCUUUGCAGAACGGGCAAGCUUGUUUUCAGAAUUUGAAAAACGGAGAUACAAAGGGAGCUGUGGCAGCUGAAUUCUCUUUCAUGUGUGUCCAGUCCAGGUGAAGCCCAGCAUAAUGUACUGUAAUAUGUCUCUUCAAUUCUCUGAUACAAUGACCUGUGCAUCCUCUAAAUCCCCCACAGAAUGCGCAGACACAGACUGAUUGAGACAGAAGCUGAUGGAAGUAUCCUGGGUGAUUGCUGAGUUUAAGCCCACAGGAGCAGAAGAAGUCCCAGGGAGUCCUGGGCAGUUUUUUGCCAUCUUUGUCCUUGUGGAGAAUCACAGCGCACGUGCAAAGAUGAUGUGCGAAUUCAUGAGGGACUCCAUGGCAUCUGUGAACAUGUGUGUCAAGGUUUUGCUUUUCCAUGUAACCCUAAAGAGUGGACACAAAAGACAUGUAUUUGCUUGAAAGGUUUUAGCAGGUUUCUUUUUGUUUUUCCUUCAAAAGUUGGUGGAUAGAUUUGCCAUGAGAUGAUUCCUAGAGAAUAUGUGAGAGCAUGCUAACAUCAUCUGACACCUGUCAAACCAGCCAUCUUCCCCCAUGUCUCAUGCUAGAAAUUGAAGCCCAAAGGCCAGCUAUUGCAGCAGUUGCGUGUUGUGAGAUACAGAUAGAAUGCAUUCCCUCGAGGGACAGAGUACAAAACUGAUGGGUUUGCUCUGAAUGCAUGAGUCCAGAGAGAUCUGCCGAGGAGAAUGAAGGCAGGGACUUGUGCACGUCUGAAGCUGCUGUCUCCGAGUGGCCUUUGGGUCCACAGAGCCAGAACAGCACAUUCAUGCCUGCAGAGGUGCUCUGUGAGAGGUGCAGCCAGGCUUUAACAACACCCUCAGGCUCGUGGUGGGAUUGCUAGAGCUGCCCUGGGCAGGACCAUGAGCAGGACUUUGACGAUCCUUGUUGGGUCUCUUCCAGCUCAUGGUAGGACUCUUCUUAAGAACCUUCUCUUCUUAAGAAGACAGAAUGCCAUGUUGUCUGAAGCUUUGACUGCACCACAGGCACUCUGCAAAAAUAUCUUCUUACAGCUACAAGGGCUUCACCCCCAC
This is a long non-coding RNA of Motacilla alba alba, 1171 nucleotides long. RefSeq lists it as uncharacterized. NCBI's taxonomy places the organism in Eukaryota, Metazoa, Chordata, Aves, Passeriformes, Motacillidae. The record is from RefSeq and is a predicted model, not a curated record. The transcript has 10 exons.